This 396-nucleotide ribosomal RNA is filed under the name uncultured bacterium. RNAcentral describes it as "bacterial SSU rRNA". It matches the Rfam family "Bacterial small subunit ribosomal RNA", at positions 29 to 408 of the family's 1533-position model. The record is from RNAcentral.
AACGAACGUUGGCGGCGUGGAUGAGGCAUGCAAGUCGAACGCGAAAGCCGCAAAGGCGAGUAAAGUGGCGGACGGGCGAGUAACACGUAAUCAAGCUACCUGCGAGACGGGGAUAACUUCGGGAAACCGAAGCUAAGACCCGAUGGUCUUCUAGGAACGCAUGUUCCAUGAAGUAAAUGGGCGGGAUCCUCCGGGAUCGCCUGCUCGCAGAGGUGAUUGCGGCCCAUCAGCUAGUUGGUAGGGUAAUGGCCUACCAAGGCAACGACGGGUAGCCGGCCUUAGAGGGUGGUCGGCCGCACUGGGACUGAGACACUGCCCAGACUCCUACGGGAGGCUGCAGUCGAGAAUCUUCCGCAACUGGGCGAAAGACCUGACGGAGCGACGCCGCGUGGAGGA